Thunnus maccoyii (southern bluefin tuna) is the source of this 719-nucleotide long non-coding RNA. RefSeq lists it as uncharacterized. NCBI's taxonomy places the organism in Eukaryota, Metazoa, Chordata, Actinopteri, Scombriformes, Scombridae. The transcript is spliced from 5 exons. The record is from RefSeq and is a predicted model, not a curated record.
UUGUCAGACCACAACGAAUGUUGGUUCAGCCGGAGUGGCGGAAGAGAGAAAUGGAGCACCACACAAGAAAUCUAUGAUAGGCUAAAGCUACAGCAGUAGGUAUACUGGUGGGUCAGAGAUUGAGACUGACCAGAGAGUUGCUUAUGUCCCGGUGGGCUGGGAAAAACUCCCAGUAACAGACCAUCACACAGCUGCAGACGCCUGAGGCAAACCUUUCCUCCUCACCCCCGGACCUCCUCACUUCAAAACUAGGGCAAAAGUUUUUUUUUUUUACAUAGCCACAAAUCCAUCAGAUAUGACAGACUUCCAUUUUAUUUUUGUUGAUUUAAUUUUGGAGCACAUCUGCCAUCCAGUCUCUGACGCCACACCACAACCUGCUCAGCCUUUUUGUCACAGAUGUCCAGAGCUGCACUGAGUAACGGUCCAAUGACAAACCAGCAAUGGAUGAUGAACAGGUGAAGGAACGUGAUGCAACGUGCACACUGAGAGUCAUUCAGAGAACCUGCAUUGACAUUUAUCCUGAGAGGGGCACAGAAGCAAACUAUGAGAGGGGUGCAAAGAAAGAAGAGCUGGAAGAUGGUCAAAAAGAAGGCAACAUCAGUGAAUCCGCAUGUCUGCACACUCAUCAAGAAGCUCAGUGACUUCAAGUGGGACUUUGUCUGAUCUUUGACACACACACACACACACAUACACAGCUUCUUCUCCCAAGCUGCCCCCCC